Molecule: long non-coding RNA, 1224 nt
Organism: Canis lupus familiaris (dog)
Lineage: Eukaryota; Metazoa; Chordata; Mammalia; Carnivora; Canidae
Exons: 5
Source: RefSeq, a predicted model, not a curated record
GCUUUUUGCUAACGGGAACUUUUAAAUCCUCAAGAACCCUAAAUGCAGAUAAAAGAAAUUGGAUUCCAGGGGUUGAGACAGCUGGGGAUUGUCUGGGAGAAAGACAGCUCAUGUCUCUAGAAGAGAGAUUGUGAGGUUCAGGAAUAAGAUAUGGGUUUUUUUUUCCAUGAAAAAUGAAGCCUCAUGGCAGACAGGAAGAGAAGGUAAAAGAAAAUGGUAAAUAAACAAGAACCAUUUAGGAAGCUCUGUUUCAGUGGAUAAGCAAGUCACACCUUGGAUCUUUACUGUCUUCCCCAGGGCCUGAGUCACAUCUUUUGAGUUCCCUCCUAGUCCUCCCUGAGCUGUCCUCGCACGCUUGCCAGGAGGUUCUAGAGAGGAACAGAGCAUGCUCACUCCUGUCUCCAGCAAGAAGCCCCUGCCUCACUGCUCCGCACAGGGGACCGCAUCUUGGAGGCAUGCUUCUCCCACUGACCCUAAAGUAGUGAGAUGUUCUCUGGCCAGAGGUGUGAACUCAAGAAAGCCAGGAAGAUGUCAAUACGUGCCUCAGUAUAUAACCCCGCCUCAGUCCAUCAAGAAAGUGAAGACAACCAAGAAAGCUUUCCUCCUUACAAGUUUUUCAAAGUUUAAAAUGACCCCAAGUCUGAGCAGAUCCUAAUGGAGCCCCACCAGUGGGAACCACUGGAUGUCUGGAGGACAGUGGCUAUGAGAUGUGAUUGACAGCCUGAGUGCCCUGUCUUGCCAAGGAAACCGAAGCAUAGAGAGAUGAGGUUCAUCUACUGAGUCCUAGAACAGAAAAACCAAGCUCCAUUUAUCCUCAAUGGAAUGAAGCAUGUUCAAUUUAUGUACAUCUGAAGCUUCACUCAAAGGGCCUUUUGUGAGACAGAUGAUGAUUAAAUGUCACUUCAAACAACAGUUCCCGACAUUGGCAAAUUUAGGUGUGGAUGUGGCAGGUGCGUACAUCAAUAAAAUAGCACAUUCUCGGUAAGACAAAAAAACAAAACAAAACACCUUACUUACCUUAAUUAGUGGUGGGAAGUGAAACAAGUUUAGGUAAUCAUGGGUUAAUUUCUCAAUGGCUGACUGUAAAGAAAAAAAAAAGCCAACACGUGAUUUUAUUAAUGAUCCGAUAGUGCCAUGAGAGGUUAAAAUUAUUGUGCACAUAUAAAGGCAUUCUUUAUUUAUGUAGCCCAUAAAAUAUCUUGGGGAUGUUACUAUCCAGCAUCU